UAUGGACUGGAUCAUGAGUCGUGGAAGGUGCUGACUGCUUCGAUUAAGUCAAUAGUUGCUCGCUUGACACUUUUUUUAAAAUUCGGGCCAUGACGUUGUUGUACAAGAUUGAUUGCAUGGGACAACCGGCUUAUCUGAAUGAAAUUCUUGUGCGUGGUCGGUCAACUCGGACGAAACAAUUUGUUAUUCCUCGAGCCGAACAUGUGGUGGGAAAGCAGACUUUGUUUGUACAAGGAAUCAACGAUUGGAAUUCAAUACCAGUGAGGACGAGAAUGGCUAGUUCGUUGAACCUGUUUCGGAAGGAGUGUGUGGAAUUUUUCAAUGGUCAAAGUAGGCCAACGAUAUAUGUGUGAGUGAGGACUUUUAUCGGUUUAGUCUAUUUUUGUGAGUGAGAGAACUCCGUAAAUCAGAUAACGUUGAGAUGAAAGUUAUGAUAC
Molecule: long non-coding RNA, 437 nt
Organism: Bradysia coprophila
Lineage: Eukaryota; Metazoa; Arthropoda; Insecta; Diptera; Sciaridae
Source: RefSeq, a predicted model, not a curated record